Molecule: ribosomal RNA, 301 nt
Filed under: uncultured bacterium
Lineage: Bacteria
Description: partial 16S ribosomal RNA
Rfam family: Bacterial small subunit ribosomal RNA
Source: RNAcentral
CAGCCGCCGCGGUAAUACAGAGGGUGCGAGCGUUAAUUGGAUUUACUGGGCGUAAAGCGUGCGUAGGCGGCUUCUUAAGUCGGAUGUGAAAUCCCUGAGCUUAACUUAGGAAUUGCAUUCGAUACUGGGAAGCUAGAGUAUGGGAGAGGAUGGUAGAAUUCCAGGUGUAGCGGUGAAAUGCGUAGAGAUCUGGAGGAAUACCGAUGGCGAAGGCAGCCAUCUGGCCUAAUACUGACGCUGAGGUACGAAAGCAUGGGGAGCAAACAGGAUUAGAUACCCCGGUAGUCCCUGUCUCUUAUAC